This 2315-nucleotide long non-coding RNA is filed under the name Mus musculus (house mouse). RNAcentral describes it as "long non-coding RNA chr5:16252899-16255214". Lineage: Eukaryota; Metazoa; Chordata; Mammalia; Rodentia; Muridae. The record is from RNAcentral.
GGCCUCUCCUGGCUGCCCACUGUGCGCAUCUGUGCUUGUGGCAAAUUGUUUCUACCUCACUGAAAUCUAAUCUAAUUAAUACAUCAGAAGCCACGCAUCUCCACAUGUAGAUCACGGUGCAGAUCAUUAAGUGAUUAAGCAGCAAAUAAAUUAAACUGACGGCAGUAAUAGAUUUCCUAUGAAAGCUGAGAAAAGAAGUAAUUAGGACUAACAUCAUCAGAGAGCCUUAUGAACUAUAGAUUAAAAAUCAAUUCAAUUCAAAAAAUAAAAAUAAAAAUGGGUAAAGGCUUUCUGGAGGAAAAAAACAGGAUCACAUAAGAACACACGAUGAAGACAUAUUGUGUGCAUGGGUGAGUCUAAUAGACUGUUCCAGGACAGGAGUUGUAGUAAGUCAGUGACUGCCAGUGGCUGCAUAGGAGGCCUUGAAGGGCACAAUGAUUAAUGUGGAGACAUAACAGUAUAGAUUGUCUGGGUAUUGGUUUGCUGUGAGUGUUACUAGACAGAGGAGGUCUAUGGGAUCAUCCUCAGAUUGCAUUGCUAGGAAAUGACAAAAUGUGAAAAUAUAAAGACCCGAACAACAGACCAAAUAAUAAUUAAAAGGAGACUUCUUGAAUACAAAAGAUAGAGACAUCAAAGAGUUAAGAAAAAAUGUUAGUGACUCACCUAAAUGUUUCAGGUAGCCAUAGAUUUUAAUUUGAGCAGAAGUUGGGAUGUUGCAGUUUUUAUUAAAAAUAGUGUCAGUGGUAUGUUUAUUUGGAGAGCAAAAUGAUGGGUUAAGUUCUGAACAAUAGCGUUUGAAGUAUAGAAGUGGGAAAGAAGGAAUAGCUUGACAUACAGCUAAGCCCAGGUUUUAUAUUCUGAAUUCUGUGCAUUACUUUGCCAUGUAUUACCCUCAGCUGUGAUGUGUGGUGUGGAAUAUGUAUGGUAAACAUGUGUGAAGUGCAUUGUAUACUGUUUGGAAGACUUAAAAUAGUCCUGUGUUUCUCUAACAUUACAACUACAAAUCUUAUCUGUGCCUUGUUAAAGUUACUCCCUGUGACUCACAGGGCUGCUCAGAAUAGCUAGCUGCUCAGCUACAGUUCUGGCCACAGUUGAACUAACUAUAGGGUUCCCCUCAUAGUUCAUGGAGGUAGUGCAGCUAUGUAGAUGCUAAUUUUAAAAAUGGGAGUUGUUUGUAAUUAAACUGGGGGAAAUAACUAUCUAUAAAACGCCAGUGCAUAUUGCUAAACCCUUCAGCUGUUUGGACUUCUAAAAUCUCUCUCAUUCUGCUAUACUUUCCUUUAUGGAUUGUUAAAUCUCUAUACUGUAUGCCUUUUGUUUUUAGGUGCAUGCAGCCCUCUUGGAUGUGCUGUUCCUUUUGUGCUAGGUGCAUUUGGUUCAAUCAUUUGGAAGCAUUUUGUCUACAACAUUAGAGAUCCUAUGCACUUGUGAGGUCCAGGAAUGGAAACUUCCCAAAUUUUACCAUUACCAACUCCCAAGGACUUUUCCCAUGACUCAGGAAAUGUGAAAGUUUUCAUUGUAGAAUCACAAUUUUCUUGUGCGAUUAUUAAGAGUUUAUCAGUUCUUAAUAAACUGGGGACGUUUUCAUUGUCAGAGCUAAAUUUUUUUUCCUUUGGGUGAAACAUAUCUAGCAUUAUUUUCCAGUAAAUCUUCCCCUCUCAUAUUUCAUAAAACUUACUGUGCCCUGGCUGUUCUCUAGCUACUUAAAUUAUUAAAUAUGCAUGAGCAUUAUUUUUAUUGGACCUUCUACUUAAACAUAUACCUGGCCGCUAUUAAUAAUUAGUUCUCCCGACAGCAAAAAUUCUAUAUUCUAUCUGAAGAUUUUCCAUGUGACACACUAUACAAUAGGUGUUAAAAAUUAUGGUUUUUAUGCUUAUCCACGGAGAUGUGUCUCUAUGUGUUUGUAUAAUUGAGCCAAAAGAAAGAAUGGUAUGGUGGAGACUGCAGAAUCCUUCUCCUGAUAAUCCACUGUCAAGUCUCAUUGUCCAGAAUACAAGCGUAAAUUUAAAAACGUUUCCAUUGGGCAGAUGAGAUAGUUCAGCAGGAAAAAUGGCUUGCUAUGCUAGCAUAGUAAUGUCAAUUUAAAUCCCAGAACACAUGUAACAAUGGAAGGGAAGUGUCUACUCCACAAAGUUGUCUCCUGGCCUCCACAUAAGUGAUGGGGAAGGUUUGUGUGCACACACACAACCACCACCACCACCACAACAACCAAUAACGGCAAUAAAUUAACAUUUUCUACUAGGUUGCUAUAUAAAAGUUAGACAACUGAAUUAAAGCCAAUAAUAUACAUCUCUUAUUUAUAAAGGAAAAAUCCU